UGGGGAAUCUUGGACAAUGGGCGCAAGCCUGAUCCAGCCAUGCCGCGUGGAUGAUGAAGGCCUUAGGGUUGUAAAAUCCUUUCGUGGGGGACGAUAAUGACGGUACCCCAAGAAGAAGCUCCGGCUAACUUCGUGCCAGCAGCCGCGGUAAUACGAAGGGGGCUAGCGUUGUUCGGAUUUACUGGGCGUAAAGCGCGUGUAGGCGGGUCGUUAAGUUGGGGGUGAAAUCCCGAGGCUCAACCUCGGAACUGCCUUCAAAACUGGCGACCUGGACCCAAGUAGAGGCAAGUGGAAUUGCGAGUGUAGAGGUGAAAUUCGUAGAUAUUCGCAGGAACACCAGUGGCGAAGGCGACUUGCUGGACUUAGUGGUGACGCUGAGACGCGAAAGCGUGGGGAGCAAACAGGAUUAGAUACCCCUGUAGUCCCUGAGCGGGCUGGCAAGGCGCAU
RNAcentral lists this ribosomal RNA (448 nucleotides) under uncultured bacterium. RNAcentral's name for it is "bacterial SSU rRNA". It matches the Rfam family "Bacterial small subunit ribosomal RNA", at positions 355 to 825 of the family's 1533-position model. The record is from RNAcentral.